Macadamia integrifolia is the source of this 916-nucleotide long non-coding RNA. RefSeq lists it as uncharacterized. NCBI's taxonomy places the organism in Eukaryota, Viridiplantae, Streptophyta, Magnoliopsida, Proteales, Proteaceae. The record is from RefSeq and is a predicted model, not a curated record. The transcript is spliced from 2 exons.
AUUUAUAUUGAGUGAUUACGAAAAAGUCUCUCCUCAUAAGAGUUUCGUCAUUGAAGAAGCUUCUUUCAUCAGCCGAUGAUGGGUUCAAGUGCUGCUUUCGUUUGGAGGAUUUUACCUUUGUGAAUCUAUAGUUGUAAGCCUAGCGAAAGUUAAAUCGGUGAAAGAGUUGGUUGUAUCCUCUUCCUUGCGGUUGACGAGGCAAGUCCUAAACCGACGCAAAUCUUGGAGUUAGAGUGGAUACUCCCUGUGAGUGGAUGCAUCAAGAUUAAUAUUAUUCCUCGCUUAGGAACCUAAGGUAUGCUAGAGUAGGGGACAUUUUCGGGAUCAUGUGGGGCGUCCUAUAAGGUGCUUUUCUUCUUUCGAGGGAAUUACAACUAAUUAUGAUGCGGAAUUCGUAGCCUUUUUUGCAGCGAUUCAAAUUGCUAAUGACCCCAAUUAUCAUGGAUUGAGUUUGAAUACGAUUCCCAAGCAGUUGUCUAGUGUAUUCAAAAGCAGAUUAUUAUAUGGAAUUUUAGGCAAAAUUGGUUGUCCUUGUUGAGAUAUUUGAAUAACACUCGAGGGAGUAAUCUUCACUGCUUUAGAGAGAUUAAUAUGGUUGCGGAUAGCCUAGCGAAGCAUUCUAUAGCAACAAGAUCGUUGACUAUAUGGAAUGAUGCUCCCAGAUUCACAUACAAUGAUAUUGAUUGGGAUGCCACUAAGAGACCACGAUUCAGAUUCAAGUGAUAUGCUGAUUCUCCUCCUCUGUUGAUGGCAAUGGCGAAGGUAGAGCAGGAGGCUAGGUCAAAGUUCUCUAGUCCAGGUCUCUUCUUUUGUUGGAGGCAAUGGCGAAGAUGGAAAGGAUAUUUGGUUUUUGUUUUUUGUGUGCCAAGUCGAUAUCUCUGUACUCUAUUCUUUCGAAUUAAUUUAUUCUUUUUGA